UCCCUGGUGGCUUAGAGGUUAAAGAAUCUGCCUCCAAUGUGGGAGACCCGGGUUCAGUUCCUGGAUAGGGAA
This is a non-coding RNA of Bos taurus (domestic cattle), 72 nucleotides long. Lineage: Eukaryota; Metazoa; Chordata; Mammalia; Artiodactyla; Bovidae. The record is from Rfam.